RNAcentral lists this ribosomal RNA (405 nucleotides) under uncultured Bacillota bacterium. Its description in RNAcentral is "bacterial SSU rRNA". It matches the Rfam family "Bacterial small subunit ribosomal RNA", at positions 463 to 867 of the family's 1533-position model. The record is from RNAcentral. Lineage: Bacteria; Bacillati; Bacillota.
AGAAUAAUGACGGUACCUCAAGAAAAAGCACCGGCUAACUACGUGCCAGCAGCCGCGGUAAUAAGUAGGGGGCGAGCGUUGUCCGGAAUUAUUGGGGGUAAAGGGGGGGUAGGCGGGUUUUUAAGUCAGAUGUGAAAUACCCGGGCUCAACCCCGGGAAUGCAUUUGAAACUGUCUUUCUUGAGUGCGGGAGAGGGAAGUGGAAUUCCUAGUGUAGCGGUGAAAUGCGUAGAUAUUUGGAGGAACACCAGUGGCGAAGGCGGCUUUCUGGACUGUAACUGACGCUGAGGCGCGAAAGCGUGGGGAGCAAACAGGAUUAGAUACCCUGGUAGUCCACGCCGUAAACGAUGGAUACUAGGUGUGGGGGUAUCGACCCCUUCAGUGCCGCAGCUAACGCAAUAAGUAU